RNAcentral lists this ribosomal RNA (1371 nucleotides) under uncultured bacterium. Its description in RNAcentral is "bacterial SSU rRNA". It matches the Rfam family "Bacterial small subunit ribosomal RNA", at positions 28 to 1381 of the family's 1533-position model. The record is from RNAcentral.
GAUGAACGCUGGCGGCGUGCCUAAUACAUGCAAGUCGAGCGAACGGACGAGAAGCUUGCUUCUCUGAUGUUAGCGGCGGACGGGUGAGUAACACGUGGAUAACCUACCUAUAAGACUGGGAUAACUUCGGGAAACCGGAGCUAAUACCGGAUAAUAUUUUGAACCGCAUGGUUCAAAAGUGAAAGACGGUCUUGCUGUCACUUAUAGAUGGAUCCGCGCUGCAUUAGCUAGUUGGUAAGGUAACGGCUUACCAAGGCAACGAUGCAUAGCCGACCUGAGAGGGUGAUCGGCCACACUGGAACUGAGACACGGUCCAGACUCCUACGGGAGGCAGCAGUAGGGAAUCUUCCGCAAUGGGCGAAAGCCUGACGGAGCAACGCCGCGUGAGUGAUGAAGGUCUUCGGAUCGUAAAACUCUGUUAUUAGGGAAGAACAUAUGUGUAAGUAACUGUGCACAUCUUGACGGUACCUAAUCAGAAAGCCACGGCUAACUACGUGCCAGCAGCCGCGGUAAUACGUAGGUGGCAAGCGUUAUCCGGAAUUAUUGGGCGUAAAGCGCGCGUAGGCGGUUUUUUAGUCUGAUGUGAAAGCCCACGGCUCAAUUGUGGAGGGUCAUUGGAAACUGGAAAACUUGAGUGCAGAAGAGGAAAGUGGAAUUCCAUGUGUAGCGGUGAAAUGCGCAGAGAUAUGGAGGAACACCAGUGGCGAAGGCGACUUUCUGGUCUGUAACUGACGCUGAUGUGCGAAAGCGUGGGGAUCAAACAGGAUUAGAUACCCUGGUAGUCCACGCCGUAAACGAUGAGUGCUAAGUGUUAGGGGGUUUCCGCCCCUUAGUGCUGCAGCUAACGCAUUAAGCACUCCGCCUGGGGAGUACGACCGCAAGGUUGAAACUCAAAGGAAUUGACGGGGACCCGCACAAGCGGUGGAGCAUGUGGUUUAAUUCGAAGCAACGCGAAGAACCUUACCAAAUCUUGACAUCCUUUGACAACUCUAGAGAUAGAGCCUUCCCCUUCGGGGGACAAAGUGACAGGUGGUGCAUGGUUGUCGUCAGCUCGUGUCGUGAGAUGUUGGGUUAAGUCCCGCAACGAGCGCAACCCUUAAGCUUAGUUGCCAUCAUUAAGUUGGGCACUCUAAGUUGACUGCCGGUGACAAACCGGAGGAAGGUGGGGAUGACGUCAAAUCAUCAUGCCCCUUAUGAUUUGGGCUACACACGUGCUACAAUGGACAAUACAAAGGGCAGCGAAACCGCGAGGUCAAGCAAAUCCCAUAAAGUUGUUCUCAGUUCGGAUUGUAGUCUGCAACUCGACUACAUGAAGCUGGAAUCGCUAGUAAUCGUAGAUCAGCAUGCUACGGUGAAUACGUUCCCGGGUCU